AGAAUGAAUCCCCGACUAUUGUUUCUCCGCUACAAUACAAGAAACGGUUCAGAAAAGCAAUGACAACCUAUUUUCUCACGGUUCCAGAUCAAUGACUACAAUACAAGAAAAGAUUCAGAAAAGCGAUGACAACCUAUUUUCUCACGGUACCAGAUCAAUGGUCAUCUUGAAAAUCUUGAAUUUAGUUAUAUUCUUUCUUUGAGCCUUCUGCCAAUAAGCAAACUUUCCUAAUUGCACAAAAUUGCAGAUGAAGGAAGGUUAGAUAUUUUUCAGUUGGUUCAUUUUUGUUUUGCCAUCUGGGGUUAAAAUUCCCCUUGGGAAAGUUUAUGAGAAGUAGGGAUUGUCAUCUUUAUUAAGAAAUGUGGCAAAGUGUACAUUUGAUCAUCUGUACAUUUAUACAAAGCUUCAUUGAGCAAAUGAAAUCAAAUGUGA
Molecule: long non-coding RNA, 432 nt
Filed under: Nicotiana benthamiana
Lineage: Eukaryota; Viridiplantae; Streptophyta; Magnoliopsida; Solanales; Solanaceae
Description: long non-coding RNA (NBEN_LNC035764)
Source: RNAcentral